AUAAGAAGUCGUACCUGCCCAGUGAAAUUUUAACGGCCGCGGUAUCCUGACUGUGCAAAGGUAGCAUAAUAAUUUGCCUUAUAAUUGAAGGCUGGAAUGAAUGGUUUGACAUGGGUAAAUCUGUCUCUAUAAAAUUUUUUAGAAUUUUAUUUUUAGGUGAAAAAGCCUAGUUUUUAUUAAAAGACAAGAAGACCCUAUCGAGCUUUAAAGAAGUUGGUAAAAUCUAAUAAUUAUUUAAUAAUUAAGUUAUCAAAAAUUUUGGUUGGGGCAACCUAGGAACAAACAAAGCUUCCUAUAACUUAACAAACGUUUAGUUAUGAUCCAUAAAAUGUGAUUAAAAGAAAUAGUUACCGUAGGGAUAACAGCAUUAUUUUUUUUAAGAGUUCUUAUCGAAAAAAAAGUUUGUGACCUCGAUGUUGGACCAGAAUAUCCUAAAGAUGCAGAAGUCUUUAAGGGUUGGUCUGUUCGACCAUUAAAAUUCUA
RNAcentral lists this ribosomal RNA (483 nucleotides) under Raphitoma petanii. RNAcentral describes it as "partial large subunit ribosomal RNA". It matches the Rfam family "Bacterial large subunit ribosomal RNA", at positions 1845 to 2598 of the family's 2925-position model. The record is from RNAcentral. Lineage: Eukaryota; Metazoa; Mollusca; Gastropoda; Neogastropoda; Raphitomidae.